GAUUGCAUCGCUUAGUGGUUAGAGCAUCUCGUUGUGGCUACCUGAAUAGCUCCGAGAAGACCCGUGUUCGAUUCACGGUGCGAUCA
This is a non-coding RNA of Tulasnella sp. 403, 86 nucleotides long. Lineage: Eukaryota; Fungi; Basidiomycota; Agaricomycetes; Cantharellales; Tulasnellaceae. The record is from the annotation of a GenBank genome assembly.